CCUACUUGCUAUACUUGUAAUAAUCAUUAAUACUGAAAAUAUGAAGACAAAUUCCAAAGACAAUAAGAAUUGUGGUAGCUGCAGAGGGCAGCUCAUGCUGCAGCCUUCACGGGCACCGACACGGCUAUGCAGCAGGUUGCUUUUGGUCCUGAUACUUAGUAGAGCAGCAGAGAAGCAAACUAGGACACACUCUAAUUACGGGCAGCACCAUCCAUGGCCUGCCACUCUGGACUAAAUAAAAAAGAGGAGUUGGAGGCAGCAUUUAUUGCUCUGCUCCCUGACUGUGGACUCCAAGUGGCAGCUGCCUUCUGUUCCUGCCAUCAGACCUUCCCCACCACGAUGGACUGUGCCCCAGACCUAAGAGCUAAAGUCAACCCUCUUCUUCAACUGCUCUUGUCCUGUAUUUUGUCACAGCAAUGAGACAAGUGGUGGACAGACGCCUGGCAACUGUUACAUACAUGUGUUUUUACUGCCAUCCUCUGAGAAACAGGCCCCUGACUUCAUCUUCAAAGAUGAAAGUUAAUUAUGUUCACCAUAAAACUUUGUUUUACUUUUAACAUAAUUUAUGGAAAGUUAUACAACUGAAACUAAAAGCUAUGCUCAUAAAAAUUCACUUACAGUAAAAGCAAUAAAUGUAAAUAAUUUGUUACUCAA
This is a long non-coding RNA of Peromyscus eremicus (cactus mouse), 654 nucleotides long. RefSeq lists it as uncharacterized. The record is from RefSeq and is a predicted model, not a curated record. The transcript has 2 exons. NCBI's taxonomy places the organism in Eukaryota, Metazoa, Chordata, Mammalia, Rodentia, Cricetidae.